CUACAUGAAGCUGGAGUUACUAGUAAUCGCAGAUCAGAAUGCUGCGGUGAAUGCGUUCCCGGGUCUUGUACACACCGCCCGUCACACCACGGGAGUUGGAGACGCCCGAAGCCGAUUAUCUAACCUUGUGGAAGAAGUCGUCGAAGGUGGAAUCAAUAACUGGGGUGAAGUCGUAACAAGGUAGCCGUAUCGGAAGGUGCGGCUGGAUCACCUCCUUUCUAAGGGGA
Molecule: ribosomal RNA, 227 nt
Filed under: Clostridioides difficile
Lineage: Bacteria; Bacillati; Bacillota; Clostridia; Peptostreptococcales; Peptostreptococcaceae
Description: partial 16S ribosomal RNA
Rfam family: Bacterial small subunit ribosomal RNA
Source: RNAcentral